This 3067-nucleotide long non-coding RNA is filed under the name Piliocolobus tephrosceles (Ugandan red Colobus). RNAcentral describes it as "lncRNA (ENSPTEG00000017815.1)". Lineage: Eukaryota; Metazoa; Chordata; Mammalia; Primates; Cercopithecidae. The record is from RNAcentral.
AAUAUAAAAAUAUAUGAUGAAUUAAUAAAUAUAAUAAAAGAAAUAGGUAUAUUAAAAUUAAUUUUAUUUAUUUAUGGUACAUUAGCAAGAAGCUCCUCUAUAUUUAUUUUAAGUACUUUUGCUUCAUAUUUUCAUACAGAUAUUAAUAUAAUAAAAAUUAAUAUAUAUAAUUUUAUUUUUUACAUUCUUAACAUGUAUUUUUAUUUAAAAAAUGAAUUGAAUGAAUAUUUAAAAACUGGUAGUAAAUCACCUCCUGUUAAAGAUAAUUUCAGUUUUAUAAAAUGUAAUAUGUAUUUAAAUAUGUUACCAAAUCUUGUAAACAAAAAUGAAUCAUUUAUAUCUUCUAUAUUUUCUGAAAAAGAAGUUAAUGGCAAUGCAUAUAAUGUAUGGCAAAAAUUAUGUCUAUUUUUUAGUUCCUAUACAUUUCUUUUUGCAACUAUAUUUAAUGUUAUUAUGCAAUUAUUUGGACCUAUUACUAUAGUAAAUGAUGUAACAAGUUAUGAAUACGAAUCAGAUCGUGAAGAAACAAAAAUAUAUACAUACAAAUCAUUAGUUAAAGCUUAUGGAAAAUGUAAUUUAAAAAUUAAUUCUAAUAAUAAAAAAUCAUAUACAUCUUCUUUUCAGUCACAAAAAACUAAAGCAAAUUUAAAAAAAUCUAACAAUUAUUUUAUUUCUGAUGAAGAUUUUAUAGUAGAAAAUGAUACAAUGAUAAAAAAAAAAAAAAAUCAACAAAUUAGAGGAACAAGAUAGUUAUUGUAUUAGUAGUUCUUUUAAUCAAAUGGAUAUCAACAAUUGGCAAUUAAAUACAGUAGAUACUAUUGAAAAUAACAAAUGUAACAAUAAAUAUAACAGUGCUAAUGAACAUGUUAAAAAAAAAAAUUACCCAUAUACACAGUUGGAUACUGUAAAACAAAGAAAACAAUUUUUAAAAAACAAAACAGUCAGUUUUAAAAAUGUUAACAGAAACGGUAGUAACAGUAGUGGCAGUAACAGUAGCGGUAGUAACAGAAACGGUAGUAACAGAAACGGUAGUAACAGAAACGGUAGUAACAGAAACGGUAGUAACAGAAACGGCAGUAACAGAAACGGUAGUAACAGUAGCGGUAGUAACAGAAACGGUAGUAACAGAAACGGUAGAAACAGAAACGGUAGAAACAGAAACGGUAGUAACAGAAACGGUAAUAACAGAAACGGUAAUAACAGAAACGGUAGUAACAGAAACGGCAGUAACAGAAACGGCAGUAACAGAAACGGUAGUAACAGUAGCGACAGUAACAGUAGCGGCAGUAACAGUAGCGGCAAUAACAGUAGCGGCAGUAACAACGAUAAAAAGGUAAAACCAGAAUAUUUUUCAGAAAAUGAAUUAACGACAACAGGAACCGAUAUAUAUGAUAAAUGGAACACGAACAACAUGGGAAGUAUGAAUAAAGAAAAAAAUAUUUUAAAAAUUAAUAAAAAAAAUGCAAUUAAACAGAAUAAAAAAUGCGUUACAAAUACAAUAACCACAUUUUCUUCCCCCCAAUCUAAAACUGAAUUUAAUUAUAAGGAUAAGUCUAAUAUUACUUAUGUCUCUUUUAUUAGUAGCUCUUUCUCAGAUAGUCAAUUUGAUUAUGUUUACUCUGGGCAUAAUCAUUCAUUUAAUUAUAUCUCAAAUAACAAUUCAAAAGGUUAUAAAAAAAAAAAAGAAAAAAAGAAUAAAGUUUCAAGGUCAAGGUCAAGAGAUGGGACGAAAGAUAGUGAUUCUUUUAUGAGUAAUGUUAGUGAUAAAACAAUUAACUUAGGUAAUAAACGAGAAAUGACAUAUAAAGGUUAUAAAAGUUAUAGUAAUACAACAGUUACUAGUAUUAAUACGUAUAAUAAAACUAAAAUUAUUAAUACACAUAAAAAUUUUGAAAAAUUAGGAGGAGAACAAAAUUAUUUUAAAAGAUUGUUUAAUAAAAGAAAAAAUUUAAAAAAAAUUGGAGUAUUUGUUUUGUUUUUAAUUAUUUUUAUUUUUAAUGUAUUACAUAUUUUAGAUUUUAAAAGGAAUAAAAAUAUAGUUAGUGAAAUAGUAUUAAAUAAUUUAUAUAGAAGUUAUUUAAUUUUUAUAAUAUCAAUACCAAUUAUUUAUGCCUCUUGGUUUUUUGGAUUCAAAGAACAAAUAUCUCAAUGUGGGAUUAUAUCUACAAGUUUACAUUGUUUGGCAUGGGUAGUUAUAUUUCCAUACACUAUUUUAAAAAAUACAUUCGGAAGUCCAAAGUAUUCUUUAAUAAUUUUAUUAUUUUUUAAUUUAUUUACUAUAGUUAUUUCUUUGAUUGAAAUACAUAAAAAAUUGAGGUUAAGGAAAUUACAAGCAUAUAAAUAUGAUAAUAAUAUUAAGAGGUUGGUAACAAGUCAGCAUAGUCAAGAACAUGAAUACGGGAAUGAUCAUAUGUAUGAAUACGAAGGUGGGUACAAAAAUGGGCAAAUAAAUUGGCAAAACAAUGAUCCCAAAAAUGAACAGAUUUACAAAUCUAAAAAAAAUAAUAAUUUAAAAGCAGUUAACACUAUUAAAACAUCAGAGAUGAGUAAUUCCAUAAAUGGUGUUAACCAAAAAAUAAAUAUGGAUAACACUGAUAGUGUAGAAAAUAUAGAAACGUUUUAUAUCAAGUACAACAAUAUAUUAAACAAAAAUAAUAAUAUUGUUAUUUUUAAAAAAUGUCUAUAUUGGUUAUACGUAGGAAAUAUAGAUAUCUUACGUAAAAAUAUAAAUGUAGCCAUGUCAGGAAAAGUAAACGUAUAUAUUCCAUUUUUGUGGAAUAUUUUGUUUAAAUAUAUAAAUUCACCUAGCCUAAUUAUAAUUUUUUUUUUUAAUACUAACACAUACUUUUUAAAAUUGAUUGACCACCUUGAGCCAUCCUUUAGUUUUGUAAUUGAAAUUGUUUCAGUUUUGCUUAUAGUUGUAUAUUGUUCGAUUAUUCUGAUCAGAAAUUUCUUCAAAUAUAACUAUAUGCCACAGAAUAUUGGGAUACCCUCUUUCCCGAUGUUUUGCUAUGACAGGAAGAAGUAUAUUUUUGUUGGAUAAGUUAAUCGCGCAUUAUUUAUCAUU